AACAAACGCUGGCGGCGUGCCUAAUACAUGCAAGUCGAACGAGGAAAGCCUUCGGGUGAGUACUAGUGGCGCACGGGUGAGUAACGCGUGGGUAAUCUGCCUCAAAGUGGGGGAUAACCAGUCGAAAGACUGGCUAAUACCGCAUAAGACCACGAGAUCUGAGCAUCUUGCGCUAAAAGGUUUUUCGCUUUGAGAUGAGCCCGCGUAGGAUUAGCUAGUUGGUAGGGUAACGGCAUACCAAGGCAACGAUCUUUAGCUGGUCUGAGAGGAUGAUCCACAACACUGGAACUGAGACACGGUCCAGACUCCUACGGGAGGCAGCAGUAGGGAAUAUUGCGCAAUGGAGGAAACUCUGACGCAGCGACGCCGCGUGAGUGAUGAAGGACUUCGGUUCGUAAAGCUCUGUCGUAUGGGAAUAACAAAAUGAAGGUACCAUGCAAGAAAGGGUCGGCUAACUUCGUGCCAGCCGCCGCAGUAA
This 478-nucleotide ribosomal RNA is filed under the name uncultured bacterium. RNAcentral describes it as "partial 16S ribosomal RNA". It matches the Rfam family "Bacterial small subunit ribosomal RNA", at positions 29 to 523 of the family's 1533-position model. The record is from RNAcentral.